RNAcentral lists this ribosomal RNA (253 nucleotides) under uncultured bacterium. Its description in RNAcentral is "partial 16S ribosomal RNA". It matches the Rfam family "Bacterial small subunit ribosomal RNA", at positions 524 to 776 of the family's 1533-position model. The record is from RNAcentral.
UACGUAGGCAGCAAGCGUUGUUCGGAAUUACUGGGCGUAAAGAGUGUGUAGGCGGUGUUCUAAGUCUGUUGUGAAAUCUCCCGGCUUAACUGGGAGGGUGCGGCGGAAACUGGAAUGCUAGAGGAUGGGAGAGGUAAGCGGAAUUCCUGGUGUAGCGGUGAAAUGCGUAGAUAUCAGGAGGAACACCUGUGGUGUAGACAGCUUACUGGACCAUUUCUGACGCUGGGACACGAAAGCGUGGGUAGCAAACAGG